This 441-nucleotide ribosomal RNA is filed under the name Arthrobacter sp. RNAcentral describes it as "bacterial SSU rRNA". It matches the Rfam family "Bacterial small subunit ribosomal RNA", at positions 69 to 521 of the family's 1533-position model. Lineage: Bacteria; Bacillati; Actinomycetota; Actinomycetes; Micrococcales; Micrococcaceae. The record is from RNAcentral.
AUGAUCCGGUGCUUGCGUCCGGGGAUUAGUGGCGAACGGGUGAGUAACACGUGAGUAACCUGCCCUUGACUCUGGGAUAAGCCUGGGAAACUGGGUCUAAUACCGGAUAUGACUCCUCAUCGCAUGGUGGGGGGUGGAAAGCUUUUGUGGUUUUGGAUGGACUCGCGGCCUAUCAGCUUGUUGGUGAGGUAAUGGCUCACCAAGGCGACGACGGGUAGCCGGCCUGAGAGGGUGACCGGCCACACUGGGACUGAGACACGGCCCAGACUCCUACGGGAGGCAGCAGUGGGGAAUAUUGCACAAUGGGCGCAAGCCUGAUGCAGCGACGCCGCGUGAGGGAUGACGGCCUUCGGGUUGUAAACCUCUUUCAGUAGGGAAGAAGCGAAAGUGACGGUACCUGCAGAAGAAGCGCCGGCUAACUACGUGCCAGCAGCCGGCGGU